This 461-nucleotide ribosomal RNA is filed under the name uncultured bacterium. RNAcentral describes it as "bacterial SSU rRNA". It matches the Rfam family "Bacterial small subunit ribosomal RNA", at positions 30 to 484 of the family's 1533-position model. The record is from RNAcentral.
AUUGAACGCUGGCGGCGUGCCUAACACAUGCAAGUCGAGCGGUAACAGGUGUAGCAAUACAUGCUGACGAGCGGCGAACGGGUGAGUAAUGCUUCGGAAUCUGCCCAUGUAGUGGGGAAUAACCAGCCGAAAGGUUGGCUAAUACCGCAUACGACCUACGGGUGAAAGCAGGGGAUCGCAAGACCUUGCGCUAUUGGAUGAGCCGAAGUCGGAUUAGCUGUUGGUAGGGUAACGGCCUACCAAGGCGACGAUCCGUAGCUGGUCUGAGAGGACGACCAGCCACACUGGGACUGAGACACGGCCCAGACUCCUACGGGAGGCAGCAGUGGGGAAUAUUGGACAAUGGGGCAACCCUGAUCCAGCGACGCCGCGUGUGUGAAGAAGGCCUGCGGGUUGUAAAGCUCUUUCGCGAGGAAGAAACGGUGGAUGUUAAUACCAUCCACUAAUGACGGUACCUUCAC